This is a non-coding RNA of Salmo salar (Atlantic salmon), 639 nucleotides long. The record is from RefSeq and is a predicted model, not a curated record. Lineage: Eukaryota; Metazoa; Chordata; Actinopteri; Salmoniformes; Salmonidae.
AGCGUUUGUCCCUAGAUGAGCGCAUCAUAGUGUGGCGGUGAAGGGAAUUGCUAUUUGUCAAGUAUACUAUGACGAUUGAGAAGUACAACACAGAUCUCUCCCUGCUGACAAAGAGAUGUGAGGAAAUGAAGAAACUCUAUACUGACAUAUUGGCUAAAUUCGGAGAGCCAAUGGAUCAAGAUUCUCAGGAGCUGUUUGGAUUGGUGUGCCAGUUUGUCAACGACUUCAAGAGGACACAUGCUGAAAUCAGAUAACAAUAUUUGCUGUCCUUGAGAUACUAUCUAUGUAAAUUCAGCCAGUCUAAAUAGAAUUUAGUUAUAAUUUGUGUACCACACAAGCUGUGCUAUUUCAGUAGUAAAAAAACCCUGGCAUUCUACUGAGAAACAUAACUCACAGCUGUGACUAAUAUUAUGAUCAGGCGGCUAGACUUGAGUAUUGCAAUUUCAGUAGGAAAACAUUUUAGUGUAUAGUACUAUGCUGAAAUUAGAACAAGUCUACACUGAGUGUACAAAACAUGCUCUUACUAUGACAUAGACUUACCAGGUGAAUCCCGGUGAAAGCUCUGAUCCCUUAUUGAUGUCACUUGUUAAAUCCACUUCAAUCAGUGUAGAUGAAAGGGAGGAGACAGGUUAAAGAAGG